Molecule: ribosomal RNA, 373 nt
Filed under: uncultured bacterium
Lineage: Bacteria
Description: bacterial SSU rRNA
Rfam family: Bacterial small subunit ribosomal RNA
Source: RNAcentral
ACAGAGGUCCCAAGCGUUGUUCGGAUUCACUGGGCGUAAAGGGUGCGUAGGUGGCCAGGUAAGAUUGAUGUGAAAUCCCGGGGCUUAACUCCGGAAUGGCAUUGGUUACUGCUUGGCUAGAGCGUUGGAGGGGGGACUGGAAUUCUCGGUGUAGCAGUGAAAUGCGUAGAUAUCGAGAGGAACACCAGUAGCGAAAGCGAGUCCCUGGACAACUACUGACACUGAGGCACGAAGGCUAGGGGAGCAAACAGGAUUAGAUACCCUGGUAGUCCUAGCAGUAAACGGUGCAUGUUUGCUAUGGAUGGAUUCGACCCCGUCCGUGGCGGAGCAAACGCGUUAAACAUGCCGCCUGGGGAGUACGGUCGCAAGAUUA